Molecule: long non-coding RNA, 478 nt
Organism: Haliotis rubra (blacklip abalone)
Lineage: Eukaryota; Metazoa; Mollusca; Gastropoda; Lepetellida; Haliotidae
Exons: 4
Source: RefSeq, a predicted model, not a curated record
GGUGAAUACGAGUUCUUGAAUGUGAAGGUCGUCGUCGGUUAAUUUUACAGACACAUGAAAGUAAAUAUGUUUCACUGACAUCUGAAAUGGGGAAAGGAUCGAAGAUAAUUAUGGUGCUUCUGGAGAGCAUGGCUGGCACAGGCCACAAGGUUAUACGUAUGCGUCCAAAGUUGGCAGAGAAACUAGAACAAAUUGGCUUUGACCCACAUGUUCGAAAACGUGUUCUUUAUAAGGAGAAGAAGAAAAUACGUUCAAUGUGAAAUAUUUGGUCAACUCAUGCCAGCUGUCAUCAUAAUCAUGUGUGCAUGUGUGGAUUUGGGAGUGCUUCAUCCUUGUUCAUAGGAUAAUAGUUUUGUUGAAUCAAACCGCAACAAGCAACUGACAUUGAAUGUUCAAAAAAAGAACAAUGGAGCUUUGUUGUGAAUGCAGUUAACUACCGUGUCAUGUGUUGUUCUCAGAAUAAAUAUUUAUCAAUUCG